Dermacentor andersoni is the source of this 5668-nucleotide RNA transcript. It is a transcript of the gene named RAB11-binding protein RELCH homolog, with no coding region annotated. Lineage: Eukaryota; Metazoa; Arthropoda; Arachnida; Ixodida; Ixodidae. The record is from RefSeq and is a predicted model, not a curated record.
CAUAAUGCACUGCAAACUCCGUGGUGUGGCAGGUGGGCUGGCAGCUGAAACGAUGGAAAAUGAUAUUUCGAAGUGCACAUCAUCCCUCGACACUUCGAUUGUGCUUCCUCUACCGACUGAAUUAGAAAGUGUGCACGACGUGACUAUAGACAAGAUUGCCGCGAAGCUUCUGAAAGACAAUUUCAUUUUGACCGCUUUGGAAUUGCAUGCCGAGCUCUUGGAAAGCGGCAGGGAACUACCCAGGCUGCGGGACUAUUUUUCUAACCCUGGCAACUUUGAAAAGCAUAGCCACUCGACUUUUGAUGCUUCUCCGGUGCUGCCAAGAACAUCGAGUGUCCAGACAUUUGAUUCUUUGGAUUUCACACGGUAUUCAGAUGACGGAGAGAAACAACUGGAUGAAAGAGUUGCUGUUCUAGAAUUUGAGCUUAGGAAGGCUCGUGAAACCAUCAAAAACCUGCGAGCAAACCUAACUGUUGUUACAGAGUCUGACCCAAACACUCCUGACAAUGGCAGUGAGCACACAACUGUUUCAGAGGAACCAUUGCGCCCUCAUGAGCGGCGAGCUGUCAACUUCCUUCUGAACGAGUAUUUACUAAAGCAUGAUUACAAGCUGACAUCCAUCACUUUUUCAGAUGAGAACGAAGUCCAGGACUUUGAGGACUGGGAUGACGUAGGUCUGAACAUUCCCAAGCCACCCGAUCUGGUGCACCUAUACCGUAGUUACAACAAGCACUCCCGUCUUUGUUGCGAUGUUGUAGAAUGUCAAGUGCAAACUGACUUUGAAGAUUCAAAUGUGCAGCGAGACCUUACAAAUAACUUGGAAGCUCUUGCAGCUGAAAAGGCCGCCCUGGAAGCUGAACUUAACCUAUUAAAGGUGCAUAUGGAGAAGACCAACCAAGAAAAUAUUUUGCUAACAGCAGAGCUGGACAAAGUUUUGUUUUCUCGAGCAGAAUUGUCCUUCAAGCCCAAUUUGCCUUUGGAGGGGGCAGUUGACACAUUGUCUGAUGCUGUAGAACCCUGUACCCCGAGCCCAAGUGUGGCUGUAGUCUCACCAUGCAAGGAGCUGCCAGAGGAAAAGGGCGACUCAGCAAAAAAGCACAUGCCACAGGCACUUACAAUAUGUGUGGCUGAUCAAGUGUGUGAUGAAGAGACAUGUUAUAUGGCUCUUGAUGGCAGGGAGAGUGUCAGCAAACCAGAAGAAUCAGAAGUCCUUAAGAGUACAAGAAAGACGUGUCCAGCCUUUCUUGAGGCCCUUAUGAAUGUAUGCCGACCUCAUUGUGAGCUGUCUGACUCACGCCUUGCGAAAGAUGUGACAUCGGUGGCUUCAUCAGGCGAGGAGGUGGUUCUGAUGCUUGCUCGGUGUCUUCCACAUAUUGUGCCUAAUGUCCUUCUGGCAAAACGAGAGGAGCUGGUUCCCCUGCUCUUGGCAGCCAUCAAUUUGCAUCCGGAUGCUGCUCAACGUGAUGUCCUUCUGAAUCUGUUAUUCAACCUAACGAAGCGCCCUGAUGAUGCACAGCGCAGAGUCAUAUUGGCUGGGCUGCUGUCUGUGGCUGAGUGCUUAGGCCCUGAACGAGUUGAAGCUGAGCUUCUGCCACAGUGCUGGGAGCAAAUAAACCAUAAGUACUUGGAAAGAAGACUUCUGGUGGCAGAGUCUUGUGGCUAUUUGGCAUCGCAAGUAGCCCCUGAGAUUCGUAGCUCCCUGCUGCUGUCCAUGCUACAACAGAUGCUCAAGGAAGAAAAAGAGGACAUGAUCCGUGAAAGGGUUGCACAUAGUUUAGCUGUGCUGCUAGCCUACGUGGAUGACCAAGAUAAGUUUUCUCAGGCAGUUGACCUGGCAUUGCUUGUAGUAGCUGAUGCACAUGCAAGCAUGGCUGAGGUGGCACAGACUGUUUUACUUCCUUCUGUUGCAUCGUGGGCACUAGAAAUAGGCCACCUGGAGGACACGCUGCUUUCCACACUGAUUAAACUUCUUGAAGAUCAUAUAAAGGCCUUGGCACUGCGAUCAGCUGAUGGCCCAACUGCACUUACACAAGCUGAAGAACAACACUCAGUGCAUCUCAUUAAGGCACUUGGAGCCUUGCUACCAUUCCUUUUUGUUCAUGUUGUCGAAACUGGCCCCUACAUGAGCCGCUUGAACCUCACAGACAGCUCCUUGAAGAAUUUGUUGGAAGAUGGUAGACUGCCGCAACCACAAAGCCCACUGUUUGACCCAUUAAAAAUCUCAAAUUAUACUUUAAAAAUGCCAGCUGUGGUAGCAGCAUUUGAUGAGCACAUUGGACAAGAAUGGUAUAAGACAUGGCCAGCUUUUGACUGGCUUCUCAGCAAGUUCAUUCCCUUCCUGACAGGCAUAGCUACUUACACAGAACCAUCAAGCCGUGCCACUGUGCAUGCACUGUCUGGGCUCCUUCUCAGUGUCUGCCAACUUUUUGGUCACACCUUUACUCAAUGCAAAGUAAAGCCUGUCUUUUCUGCAUUGAUUCCUCUCAAUGAGGCCUUCACUCAAGAAGCAAAGAACAUGUUGACAAGUGCUGUGGGACCUGUAUAUGCAUCUGGCAUCCUGGCAGCUUUUUCUUGUGAGGCUGAUUGCAAGGAGCUGGUGGCCUUCUUGAAGAAUCUUCUGUUUAUAGUGUCACUUUGUGAACUUCCUUUGUCAAGUGUGGAAAGCAUCUUCAUUGAGCUUAGCAUGAACAAAAAUUACCAUGAAGUUCUGUUGUCGGUGCUUUGGGAAGGAGUGGUCCAUAACACUGCACUUGUCCGAAGCAAUGCAGGCCGCCUUUUUGAGCUUCUAGUUGGGACUGUGUCCGAUCCAUUGCUGAAAAGUCAUGUCACUCCAGCGCUUGUGACUCUUGCAAGUGACCCUGAAAUUUCUGUGCGCAUAGGAACAGUGAGACCAUUCGGAAUGAUUUUGGCAACAAGCAGUCAAAAAGAUUUGCUUGAUAAAGCAUUCAUGCAGCUGCAGACUUUUCUUGAAGACCCUCUGCACAGAGAUGACCGCUCAAUGCAAGCUGAGUUUAUCCAUAUGUUUGCGUCAUUAGGCCCAAAUACAGAGCCACGCUUUAGAGAUGAAUUCAUCUUACCUCACCUUGCAAUCUUGGCUAUGAGAAACAAUCAGAAUACAAAUGACUCAUCAAGGAUGGAAAUCAUGGAGUUGCUUCUUGAAGCCUACAGUGCAUUGUCUUGCACCUACAUUUCAGAACAUGCAAUCUCGGAUGCAUUCUUACCAGGCUUAAGAUGUUUGUUGGAAGAUGCAAGGCAAGUUGCACCUUGCCAUGAGUCGGCAGUUUCAGCCAUGAUUGCUGAUUUCGAAGCCAAAUUGGACUGCUGCAGAGAAAGAACCCCAUCACUGAGCUCGCCAAUGGCAAGUAUGGAGGAGAUGAAGCGGAAGAUGACGAAAAUCUUCACUGUGCCUCCUGCUAAUGCUCGUUCAAACCUUCCAAACAUCUUUCAGUUGCGAAAGAAAUGAGCAGAGGCAUUGCUAGUCAAGGCCUACAGGCUGCCAACCCUUCCUCCUGGUUAAAUAUCAAGGCUGGCCCCCGGACUUGGAUCAAGCAAAGUGACAUCUUCACCUUGUGAACCACCGCCCCAGCACUACUUUCAUGUCAAAAGUGAGCCCAAGCUGGAACUUUUAAACAGUCUACAAUGUAAAAGGUACUGGAAGGACACCAGUCUGCAUUGCAUCUAGUCAUGACCAGAGGAAAGAUGUGCUUUAUGUUUUUACAUAAUGCUAUACAAUGGACCCAUUAGGAUAUGUUGGAUGGGUCAAAUGAUAUACAGUGUCGCAUAAAACAGUAAUCUUUGUUUUUAAGGCGGUUUCUGCCAUGGAUUUUAUCUUUUAUGCUGAAGAGAGAUUUUGUACAUACAAUACUACAUAUUUUUGGAUGGCUUUUAUUGAAGAAAGGUCCUUUGAACUUGUGAUUUUUUCAUGAUGUAAGUCCAUAAGGACUCAUUGUAAAUACACUUGUGUAAACUGAAGUCUGUGGGGUCUAAGCCACAAGAAUAAAUUGCAUAUCUUACAAAGUGACUUAUCCCAUGGGCAUUCAGUGUAAACUUCAAUUUGUACAGUGUAGACCUUUAUGUAUUGUGAAAGUUGCAGUACUGCAUUAACAUUAUCCUUUAUCUUUGCAGUCAUCAUAAAUGUCUUAUGGAAUACCCAAUUAUGAAACACAUUACAUUAUGAGUGCAAUACUGGAAAGCUACAGAAAGCUUUUACUCAUAUGUUGCUGGCUCAUUAAUGUGGUCAUUGGUGCUGAGUGCCAAAAUCACAACUGCAGUGUCCACCAAACACAUGCACGAGUACAUCUUGGAGCACUAUCAUUGUUCUGCAUUACAUUCACUACAGUUAAAUGAGGAUUUGAUGCUAUCUAGCUCUCUCCAUUGGACAUAUAUACUGUGGCUUCUGUAACUGAGAGAGAGAGAGAGAAAACAUUAUUAAAUUAAAGGGGGGGUGAGGGUCUAGAGACUAGCCCCACCAGAGCUCCCCUUCCUGGGGCUUCUGUAAGGUUCACUACAUUAUUCUCUUUUAUAUUUGCAUGUAGUAUUUGGCCAAUACACCAUCCAGUGGAAAUAAACACAUUGCGUUGUAGGCAGUCUCAAGCAGUUUUGCUGUCUAUUUUUAAUCAUUCUCUUUGGACAUUGCUAAAAUAGAACAUCCAGAAGUGUUUGCAAGUGUGCACAGCAGCACAUAUGUAGUGUGGCCUAGGAAGUGUACCAUAAAUGAGGCCCUCCAUAUUUUCGUUAACGUAUUAGCGGGUGCAUAAGUUUGACAUUGUUAGUCUGGUGAAAUAAAGACACAAAAACUUAAUUGCAGCUUAGAGAGAAUAGAAAUGGUCUUCGAACUCAUUUUCCUUUUCUCAUUCGUAAAUUUUUGUUCUCUACUUCUGUAUUUAUGGCAUUGUUUUAUAAUACUAAGCCUUCUGAGUAUUUUUAAUUUUUUCUUUUGAUGAAUACUGUGAGCCUUGCAUAUAGGCCUAUACUGGAAGUGGAUUACAAAGUGUACCAUGAAAACAAUAAUGUAGGUUGAGUCUCUUUCCGUAAAUAAUUGUACGGAAACCAUCAAUGAUGGCUGUCAUUGGAAGUGAAUAGCUGAAUGCUUCUGGAAAGCUAUUCACUUUAUUAAAGGAAUGAUGCACUUCAAGGUGUGUAUUUUUGUCAGUGAGGAUAUUUAGGUAGAGUGUUUUGUGUCACUGCUUAAUUCUGUCGAGAACAGAGCUGUUAACCAUUACAUCUGUAGUGGCGCCAGAACCCUCAUGCAGCCACCACAGAAGGAAAGGGGUGUGGGAAAAGAGGUGGGCUGACCUUCACGAGCGCAGCACCACAUCAUCUGACUAUUUCCUUAACUUUGUCUAAACCUUCAGAUGUCUCAAAGCUGUCACGUUACAGCACAUGUCAGUGGACCCAGCUAUUCCCUUACAUGCACAGCUCUGUUCAUGUUACGAAGGCAUGUCUACAAGGCAGCGAAGUUCUACAUUUGCACUGUUGCCUUUUGCCUUGUGGUACAUUGCAUUGUGAAGGUUUCAACCUCCACAACAGUCCUGGCUUAACCCCUUUAAUACCCCCACCCCCCUUCAAAAGAUAAUUCCGAAAAAGCAUACCAAGUUUCCCAAUUUUUAAAUGUAGCAAUGAAGUUCUCUGUCAUUCUGAUUCUGAAAAUAUAUAACUUGAUUCUUGA